ACCCGCUGAACUUAAGCAUAUCAAUAAGCGGAGGAAAAGAAACCAACAGGGAUUCCCCUAGUAACGGCGAGUGAAGCGGGAACAGCUCAAAUUUGAAAUCUGGCCCUUGGGUCCGAGUUGUAAUUUGUAGAGGAUGCUUUUGGUGCGGUGCCUUCCGAGUUCCCUGGAACGGGACGCCUUAGAGGGUGAGAGCCCCGUACGGUUGGACGCCUAGCCUCUGUAAAGCUCCUUCGACGAGUCGAGUAGUUUGGGAAUGCUGCUCUAAAUGGGAGGUAUAUUUCUUCUAAAGCUAAAUACUGGCCAGAGACCGAUAGCGCACAAGUAGAGUGAUCGA
This 334-nucleotide ribosomal RNA is filed under the name Listeria monocytogenes. RNAcentral's name for it is "partial 23S ribosomal RNA". It matches the Rfam family "Eukaryotic large subunit ribosomal RNA", at positions 23 to 360 of the family's 3401-position model. Lineage: Bacteria; Bacillati; Bacillota; Bacilli; Caryophanales; Listeriaceae. The record is from RNAcentral.